GACAGAGGGUGCAAACGUUGUUCGGAAUUACUGGGCGUAAAGCGCGUGUAGGCGGCUAAGUAAGUCGGGCGUGAAAUCCCACGGCUCAACCGUGGAAGUGCACUCGAAACUGGAUGGCUAGAGUCCUGGAGAGGAAGGUGGAAUGCUUGGUGUAGAGGUGAAAUUCGUAGAUAUCAAGCGGAACACCGGUGGCGAAGGCGGCCUUCUGGACAGUGACUGACGCUGAGACGGCGAAAAGCGUGG
This 243-nucleotide ribosomal RNA is filed under the name uncultured bacterium. RNAcentral's name for it is "partial 16S ribosomal RNA". It matches the Rfam family "Bacterial small subunit ribosomal RNA", at positions 524 to 764 of the family's 1533-position model. The record is from RNAcentral.